RNAcentral lists this ribosomal RNA (253 nucleotides) under uncultured bacterium. Its description in RNAcentral is "partial 16S ribosomal RNA". It matches the Rfam family "Bacterial small subunit ribosomal RNA", at positions 524 to 776 of the family's 1533-position model. The record is from RNAcentral.
UACGUAGGGGGCUAGCGUUGUCCGGAAUCAUUGGGCGUAAAGCGCGUGUAGGCGGUCCGGUAAGUCCGCUGUGAAAGUCGGGGGCUCAACCCUCGGAUGCCGGUGGAUACUGUCGGGCUUGAGUACGGAAGGGGCGAGUGGAAUUCCUGGUGUAGCGGUGAAAUGCGCAGAUAUCAGGAGGAACACCAAUGGCGAAGGCAGCUCGCUGGAACGGUACUGACGCUGAGGCGCGAAAGCGUGGGGAGCGAACAGG